CAGUAGCCGCGGGAAUACGUAGGUGGCAAGCGUUGUCCGGAAUUAUUGGGCGUAAAGGGCUCGCAGGCGGUUUCUUAAGUCUGAUGUGAAAGCCCCCGGCUCAACCGGGGAGGGUCAUUGGAAGCUGGGAAACUUGAGUGCAGAAGAGGAGAGUGGAAUUCCACGUGUAGCGGUGAAAUGCGUGGAGAUGUGGAGGAACACCAGUGGCGAAGGCGACUCUCUGGUCUGUAACUGACGCUGAGGAGCGAAAGCGUGGGGAGCGAACAGGAUUAGAUACCCCAGUAGUCCCUGUCUCUUAUAC
RNAcentral lists this ribosomal RNA (301 nucleotides) under uncultured bacterium. RNAcentral describes it as "partial 16S ribosomal RNA". It matches the Rfam family "Bacterial small subunit ribosomal RNA", at positions 509 to 807 of the family's 1533-position model. The record is from RNAcentral.